Molecule: ribosomal RNA, 269 nt
Filed under: uncultured bacterium
Lineage: Bacteria
Description: partial 16S ribosomal RNA
Rfam family: Bacterial small subunit ribosomal RNA
Source: RNAcentral
UUUGAUGGCGACCGGCGCGCGGGUGAGUAACACGUAUCCAACCUGCCGAUGACUCGGGGAUAGCCUUUCGAAAGAAAGAUUAAUACCCGAUGGCAUAGUUCUUCCGCAUGGUGGAACUAUUAAAGAAUUUCGGUCAUCGAUGGGGAUGCGUUCCAUUAGGUUGUUGGCGGGUAACGGCCCACCAAGCCUUCGAUGGAUAGGGGUUCUGAGAGGAAAGUCCCCCACAUUGGAACUGAGACACGGUCCAAACUCCUACGGGAGGCAGCAUG